Molecule: long non-coding RNA, 794 nt
Filed under: Pongo abelii (Sumatran orangutan)
Lineage: Eukaryota; Metazoa; Chordata; Mammalia; Primates; Hominidae
Description: lincRNA
Source: RNAcentral
GGCUGAAAGCAAUGAUCUUGCCAGUCAUCCUUUCACGUAUUCAUUAUGGUCUACAGCUGAGAAGGGCUGUUUGGGGUUUGCUUUGCCUGAUGGUAGCAGAAGAAAACCAAGAGGCCUCUCUACGAAAGCUUGCAGUAAGGAGAAAGUUCUGGAGACUGGGAAGAGCAAUACAAAGAUAUUCAGUUGCUUGGUGAGAGCUGCUCUCUGCUUCCAAGGUGGCACCUUGUUGCUGCAUCCUCCAAUGGGAAGGAACGCUGGGUCCUCACAUGACAGAAGGUGGAAAGAUUCCUGGACCUGAUAGAAGACUCAUUGAAAAAGGAGGUCUGGAGUUGGGGCCUAGGAAGCUGCUUUUUGAACAAGAUUCCCAUGUGAUCAUAGCACACGUCUUCUGCCUUCAGCUUAAAUAGCAGCACAAUUAGACCUGGAUUCCUGCAACUGUCAAGAUGAAUAAGAUGAAGCAAGAAUUCCAUUGCUUUAUCCUGCUGCAUUUUGGGUUUGUUUUCUAAGUUGAUUAUUCACAGGAUGUAGCAUUUUGUUUUGUUUCUCCAUGGCAGAGGAUGAAGACACAGUAUAAAUCAAUGCCCUGUGCUUGUCUAGGAUUACAUAGGGAGAGAGCUCUGAAGUUGUUUGGAGAUGUUUGGGAGAAAGAGAUUUUUUACAAGGAAAAGUGUAAAGGACUGCUUAGCUAAUACUAAAAAAGCUUCAAUGGUGCCGAGGAAUACAAAUUAAGAACUCACAUGGAGAAGGCCAAUAGGAUGUCCCUGUUUAUUGAAGAGUAAUAAAUAUUUUUAAAA